CGCCAUUUUAAAGUAUAGUUUGGAUUGAUGCUGUACGCAGCGCCACGUACCACGAUUAUUUGUUGUGAUUGAUUGUUCAUCCGGGAGAUAGCGCCUUCGGAGUAAACAUCUCAAGAGUUGAGAAUUCAGAUAAAUUGAGAUUUUAAGAUAUGCCUCAACGGUUGGUGAAUUUGUUUAUGCAAUAGGUAUGUAGUUGCUGAGCAAGUCGAUUCGUCUAUUCGUAGGUCAAAUGGCAUUGAAAACGUACAUACAUGCAUUCAUAAACGAAUUCAAGGUAGAAAAUGAAGAGGGUGAAGUCUUUGAUUUAGCGAUACAGCGAUUGAUUCGUUGACCUACUUCGAGACUAAGACACGAGAUACACACGAAUAAGAUGAAACAAAAACUGACAAGAAAGUGAUUGAUGAUCUCUCAAAGCUCAUUAAGAGAGUAAAAUAAAAGUAAAACGAAUACAAAGAGAAUGAUGAUAAUUGGAACACAAUGAUAAUGGUGAAUUUUGGUGAAACGUGGCGUAAAAUUCCGCAGAAAAGGAUAUAUGGGUUACGACAAGAACUGGGAAAAUGAAUAUACAGCGAUAACAAUAAUACCAACACAACAUCGGUGAAAGGUCACUUCCGACUUUUCGUGAGAUCCGAGGGUAGGUCAGAAUGCGGCGACGAUGAGGACGUCGAAUCCGGUAGCGACAAAACUUUCGAUGAUAUCGGCACCGAGAGACCCGCUGCUGUCAUCGCGACGCUCAAAGGUUUGCAGAGCCUCUUCAAUCGCAAGUGGAAAACUGCAAAAUCAGACUCCGGCAUUCAACAAAUAAUAGGCAAAAAUACCUGCAUCCUGGGGUAUUUGAACCGGUUGUCCAUUUUGCCCGAUACUAAGGAGAACGCCGGGGCUCGGAGAGUAGACGACAUUCUGAGGCAUCGGAUAAAUCAUUCCGGAUGCAAAGGGCGACAUGCUACCUGAAAAAUGAAGUCCUAAUUACCUCCUUUCGUGAAUAAUUCACAUUCAUAUAUGCACGUAAAUGAAAUGUCGACGAUUCACAGCAGAUGAUCGUUGUAGGUAUGUACAUAUUCGAAAAUCACGUUCGCAAGUUAACGCGCGAUCUCGUCGAGAAUAAUGCAAUACCUCCAUUCAAUCACGUGUCGCAUAACGUGCCUGUAAUCAAUCCGCCCAAGGACACGACGGGGGGUUAUUCUGAUUCUUUGUAGUUCACGCCAGGGGCUAUUUUCUUGGAAUCAUCAAUCAAUCGAGGAGAAUUGGAAAAUAAUAUCCGACCAUCUUGUUACACAGUCUAGCACGAUAAUCUGGAGUAGGAAUUAUAGCAUCAUUGGAGAACGUGACCAAACGUCGACGAAGCCACUUUUCGAAAGUGACGAAAUAAAGAGAUCCGCCAUUUUUUUAAACAGAAAUUCGUCUCUUCAAAAUGUAAACGAAAUUUUUAUCAAUCGAGCUUGAUUAUAUCUUUAAACGGUUACUGAUACAACUUCUGCUUAUAUAAAUAAGGACAUGAUUUGUUCUUAUUUUGAGCCGUCAUUUCACCAUUUGUUGCUAUAUUGAACUCGAACUAUUCGUGAAUUUUUGAAAUUUAUCAUCAGCGAAAGCGUAGCAUUGAUUAAGCACGAAUGAUCAAAACUUCGUAGGUAACCUAUACAUUCGUCAAAUGUUCUUCUAACCUGUACGAAAUUUGAAAUUUAAAAAUAAAAAAUUUAUUUAUACGGGA
This 1708-nucleotide long non-coding RNA is filed under the name Neodiprion pinetum (white pine sawfly). RNAcentral's name for it is "uncharacterized LOC124219665, transcript variant X1". The record is from RNAcentral. Lineage: Eukaryota; Metazoa; Arthropoda; Insecta; Hymenoptera; Diprionidae.